AGAGUUUGAUCAUGGCUCAGGACGAACGCUGGCGGCGUGCUUAAUACAUGCAAGUCGAGCGCGACAAUUAAAGAGCUUGCUUUUUGAUUGUUGAGCGGCGGACGGGUGAGUAACGCGUGGGCAAUCUGCCUUCUAGCCCGGGAUAACAGAGCGAAAGAGCUGCUAAGACCGGAUAUGCUCCCGACAAGACAUCUUGUUGAGAGAAAAAGAGAUGCUAGAAGAUGAGCCCGCGUCCCAUUAGCUAGUUGGUGAGGUAACGGCCCACCAAGGCGACGAUGGGUAGCCGACCUGAGAGGGUGAACGGCCACACUGGGACUGAGACACGGCCCAGACUCCUACGGGAGGCAGCAGUAGGGAAUUUUCGGCAAUGGGCGCAAGCCUGACCGAGCAACGCCGCGUGAGGGAAGAAGGUCUUCGGAUCGUAAACCUUUGUCUUUGGGGACGAUAAUGACGGUACCCAAGGAGGAAGCCACGGCUAACUACGUGCCAGCAGCCGCGGUAAUACGUAGGUGGCAAGCGUUGUCCGGAAUUACUGGGCGUAAAGGGCGUGUAGGCGGCGAUUUAAGUCAGACGUGAAAGCCCAGGGCUUAACCUUGGGACUGCGUUUGAAACUGGAUGGCUAGAGGAUCGGAGAGGGCAGUGGAAUUCCCAGUGUAGCGGUGAAAUGCGUAGAUAUUGGGAGGAACACCAGUGGCGAAGGCGACUGCCUGGACGACACCUGACGCUGAGGCGCGAAAGCUAGGGGAGCAAACGGGAUUAGAUACCCCGGUAGUCCUAGCCGUAAACGAUGGGUACUAGGUGUGGGAGGUAUCGACCCCUUCCGUGCCGGAGCAAACGCAAUAAGUACCCCGCCUGGGGAGUACGGCCGCAAGGUUGAAACUCAAAUGAAUUGACGG
Molecule: ribosomal RNA, 896 nt
Filed under: uncultured bacterium
Lineage: Bacteria
Description: bacterial SSU rRNA
Rfam family: Bacterial small subunit ribosomal RNA
Source: RNAcentral